Molecule: ribosomal RNA, 495 nt
Filed under: uncultured delta proteobacterium
Lineage: Bacteria; Deltaproteobacteria
Description: partial 16S ribosomal RNA
Rfam family: Bacterial small subunit ribosomal RNA
Source: RNAcentral
GGGAGGGGGCAGUGGGGAAUAUUGCGCAAUGGGGGAAACCGUGAAGCAGCAACGCGGCGUGGGUGUGGAAGGCCUUCGAGUAGUAAAGCCCUGUUGAGGGGGAAGAAAAAAAUGACGGUACCCCGAGAGGAAGCACGGGAAAACUCUGUCCCCGCAGCCGGGGUAAUACGGGGGGUGCGAGUUUUUUUGGGAAUUCAUUGGGUGAAAAGAGCGUGUGGGGGGCUUUUAAAGUCAGAGGAAAAACCCCGGGGCUCACCCCCGGAAAGUGCUUUUGAUACUGGCAGGCUAGAGUAGGGGAGGGGGUAGGAGAUUUCCCAGUGUAGAGGAAAAAUUUGUAGAUAUGGGGAGGAACACCGGUGGAGAAGGGGCCUACGUGGACCGAUAGAGACUCUGAGACGAGAGAGCGUGGGGAGCAAACAGGAUUAGAUACCGUUGUUGUCCACGCCUUAACGAUGAGUAUUAGGUGUUGGUAGGGUUACCUGUCAGUGCCGCAGC